This 275-nucleotide RNase P RNA is filed under the name Comamonas testosteroni. RNAcentral describes it as "partial RNase P RNA subunit". It matches the Rfam family "Bacterial RNase P class A", at positions 43 to 351 of the family's 367-position model. From Rfam's summary of the family: Ribonuclease P (RNase P) is a ubiquitous endoribonuclease, found in archaea, bacteria and eukarya as well as chloroplasts and mitochondria. Its best characterised activity is the generation of mature 5'-ends of tRNAs by cleaving the 5'-leader elements of precursor-tRNAs. The record is from RNAcentral. Lineage: Bacteria; Pseudomonadati; Pseudomonadota; Betaproteobacteria; Burkholderiales; Comamonadaceae.
GAGGAAAGUCCGGGCUGCAUAGGGCGGCGUAGCAGCUAACAGCUGUCCACCGUGAGGUGAGGAUCAGAGCAACAGAGACGAGUCUGGCAGGAGUGCCGCAAGGCAGACCAACCAGGGUGAAACGGGCAAUCUCUACGCGCAGCAAUACCAAGUAGGCACACGUUGACGGGGCCCCCGGAGUGUGCGGGUAGGUAGCACCGAGCCAUCAGGCGACUGAUGGCCAAGAUUAAUGGCGGUCACAUGGCGGGCAACCGUUGUGCACAGAAUCCGGCUUA